Phyllostomus discolor (pale spear-nosed bat) is the source of this 1907-nucleotide long non-coding RNA. RefSeq lists it as uncharacterized. The record is from RefSeq and is a predicted model, not a curated record. NCBI's taxonomy places the organism in Eukaryota, Metazoa, Chordata, Mammalia, Chiroptera, Phyllostomidae. The transcript is spliced from 3 exons.
UAGAGCUGCACUAUGACUGCCCCUUCUGAUGAGAACCAUGGAAACAAUGCUGGGCAUUUUCUUUUCUACACUUGGAGCAAAUGUUAAGGCACACAGUUCCUAGAUUGUAAGGGCAUUUGAGUUUUCCAUCCUUGGUGUCUUGGAUAGUGUCCAAUAAUGAGUCUUCAACUUCUCACAGAAUUGAGUAAUUAGAAAAUUGUAUUUCAUUAAGGAAAAAGAAAAAUUUGUUAGUACUUCAGCAUAAUUAAAAACUACAGAAUUGUUUUGGCCUUGGAAAAAGUUUAUACAAAUACCUUUAUUAAUAGAAGAGAAUGACCACUAACAUUUAAAAAGGAGGUUUCCUUUUAUAAAAUAAGGCCAUUUAUGGUAACCUGUUGGACUUAAAAAUGCAGUAAAUGGCUCAAGAGAUCUUCUUGACAAAAACCAUGUAUGAUAAUGGAGACAGAUAGUAAUAUAUAUAUAUAAAAUAUAGCCUUGCUGUUGGCUUAGCUGUAGAAAUGGAAAUCAUGCAGUUUUGAUAGCCACUGAGAUGUAUACAUUUAUAGAAAAUCAUCUGUCUCUAGUGCUGUCUGAAUUAUUUUAAUCAAGAGACAGAGCACAUAACUAGUCAAUGAAGCAGAAUCUUCACUAUUUCCUGUUUAUAUCAGCUCAAAUAUGUACAUUAUGGAAAUAUGACUUUGUGAUUCCUUAUUGAAUAAUACUUUGUUCCGAUUUCAUAAUAAAUGCUUAAUGAAUUGCCUUGUGAAAACUCACGUGUGUCCAGAAUUGUGCCAGGUACACAGGACCUAAAGAAAUGAUCUUUGCACUGAAGGAAUCCUUAUAGAAAAUAACACAAUUCUGCUUAAAAGAAACAAUUUGUACUGGCCUUCUUUGUAAGCUCUAUUAGCAAAUGCCUAGUGAGUAUUACUCAGUAUAUGUCCCUGUCUGUACAAAGACCAAAGCACUGGACUGAGACUUCAGCCAACCUGCUCACCUUUCUAUUUACAAAGUUCCAUGCAAGAUUUUUUUUUAAAAAAGGGAAUAUGAAGAGGAAAAAUGAACAUUUCCAGGAGUGGUAAUUAUAAAUUAAGACUUCAGAAGGGCAGGAAUAACAAAGAAUCCUUCAAUACCAUAAACAGAAUAAUACUAAAUUCUAAUAGAGUAAUUCUCAAACUCGUAAAAUAACAUAUGCUCAAAAUGUUAAUAUUGUUUGAUUGUUUGGAUGUUAAUACAAUUUUUCACAGAAACAAAUUAUACAGAGAUGAAGUUCUUAAAGUGACACACAAAAAUGUGUAGUGAAUAUUGAAAGGGAACUAUAAUAACUACAAGUCUCACAGGAUUUUCGUGAUUGAGAUACUAUAUAAAAUAUCUGGAAGAGCACCUGCCUAACUGUUGGCACUCAAAUGUGAACCAUUUAUCAUAUUGUUUACUUUUAUAUUGCUUUGAACACUAAGCCCUGCAAUGCAUCCUAAGUUUCCAAGUCAGACACAGGGGAUAUUACCUUCGCCCAUCACAGAAAUGGAGAGGGAAAACUGCUCCCUUAGUUUCACUGCUGCAAAAGCAUUUGUAGAUGACAAAAUGCCCCACCUGUGAGGGGAACGGGAGGUGGAAUGAGAUACACGGAGGAAGAUGGCCUCCUUUGGGACUUUGGGGAGUGUAUCAUCUAUAUAGGCUACUCUCCAUGAUGAAUCACGCAUUAGUUUUUGGUUAUUUUUUCCCUUUCUUUUAGAUUUGAGUGACUGUCAGGCCAUUAUUGCAACUGUAGUUUCUGAGCAACUGACCUGUUUACCCUAUAUCUCUGGCUAUUUUUAAAUUGUCAAGAUCUGGAAAAAAGCCCCAUUUGUUCCACUGAUGGCCUACUAAGAGGUACAUUUAAUAUCUUCUAGAUUAAUCUAUAGAUGCUAUAUAGGUCCCUAGAUUUAAUAUUA